RNAcentral lists this ribosomal RNA (253 nucleotides) under uncultured bacterium. RNAcentral's name for it is "partial 16S ribosomal RNA". It matches the Rfam family "Bacterial small subunit ribosomal RNA", at positions 524 to 776 of the family's 1533-position model. The record is from RNAcentral.
UACAGAGGGUGCAAACGUUGUUCGGAAUUACUGGGCGUAAAGCGCGUGUAGGCGGCUCAGAAAGUCGGAUGUGAAAGCCCUGGGCUUAACCUAGGAAGUGCAUUCGAAACUUCUGAGCUGGAGUCCUGGAGAGGAAGGCGGAAUUCUCGGUGUAGAGGUGAAAUUCGUAGAUAUCGAGAGGAACACCGGUGGCGAAGGCGGCCUUCUGGACAGUGACUGACGCUGAGACGCGAAAGCGUGGGGAGCAAACAGG